GCACCUAUGGCCAAGUGGUACGGCGUUUCUCUCCUAACUGCCUAUUUCGUGCUAGCUCGCAAUAGGAUCAUCGGAAAAGAAAAGAUCCUGGGUUCGAUCCCCAGUAGGUGUG
Molecule: transfer RNA, 112 nt
Organism: Penicillium brasilianum
Lineage: Eukaryota; Fungi; Ascomycota; Eurotiomycetes; Eurotiales; Aspergillaceae
Rfam family: tRNA
About the family: Transfer RNA (tRNA) molecules are approximately 80 nucleotides in length.
Source: Rfam